This 253-nucleotide ribosomal RNA is filed under the name uncultured bacterium. RNAcentral's name for it is "partial 16S ribosomal RNA". It matches the Rfam family "Bacterial small subunit ribosomal RNA", at positions 524 to 776 of the family's 1533-position model. The record is from RNAcentral.
UACGGGGGGGGCAAGCGUUGUUCGGAAUUACUGGGCGUAAAGGGCUCGUAGGUGGCCAACUAAGUCAGACGUGAAAUCCCUCGGCUUAACCGGGGAACUGCGUCUGAUACUGGAUGGCUUGAGUUCGGGAGAGGGAUGCGGAAUUCCAGGUGUAGCGGUGAAAUGCGUAGAUAUCUGGAGGAACACCGGUGGCGAAGGCGGCAUCCUGGACCGACACUGACGCUGAUGAGCGAAAGCCAGGGGAGCAAACGGG